This 775-nucleotide long non-coding RNA is filed under the name Coturnix japonica (Japanese quail). RNAcentral describes it as "lncRNA (ENSCJPG00005016999.1)". Lineage: Eukaryota; Metazoa; Chordata; Aves; Galliformes; Phasianidae. The record is from RNAcentral.
AAUAACAAAACACUUAUUUGUUUAUCAUAUUUUAUCUCUGUCUCUUUUUCUUUUUUUCCUGUGCAAGAGUUGUUCAUAUGCAAGUCAUUAUUUUCUUUGAUGUAUUUGUCAUUCACUGUAUUAUUUCUCAGCACAUUUAGCUCUGAAGAUCAUCUGUUAGAAGUUCAUUGAGCUUUCUGAAGGCAAAAGGAGCUUGUAUCAGCAAAGGGUGGGAUCAAUGCCUAGCUCAGAGGAAUGCUAUCAGGAACAAUGGAAAUGUGGUACCCAGUUCCUUUUGGAAGAACAAACUUUGAAAGAUGCAUCUCAUCCAUACCAAGAAUGAUCUGCUGGGGAAAAGAUAAUUCCUGCAAGAUGCAUGACUCCAAAGAUAAGAUACAACCUACAAGAAAAAAACUAACACAGCAGACUGACAUCUUCAGUACUUUCUCCCUCACUGAGACUGCUCCUGAACCUGAACUAGCUCCUCUCCUUCUUCAUCCACUUGACUGUCUACUCUGGUGCUCUGUGCACCUCUGUAAUUUAUUGCACCAAAGGCAAUAAGUCAAUCUAAUUUCAUGGAAAGUAUGGAGGUGAUGUGGUCAGUAGUGCUAAUAGCUCAUUUUUCACUUUUUCAUGCUUGUGCACUUGAGAGAUACCACAGUGAACAUGGCUUUAUGUCGCAAAGUAGCCAAGUCAAAUCUGCUGAUUUCUCCUGACUAAUGAAAAAAUAUUUUUAUGUAUAUUGUUCCAUAGAUGAUUCAAUCUGCUCAAAAAAAUAAAGCUCUUUCCACCUACA